Lycium ferocissimum is the source of this 1352-nucleotide long non-coding RNA. RefSeq lists it as uncharacterized. The record is from RefSeq and is a predicted model, not a curated record. The transcript has 3 exons. NCBI's taxonomy places the organism in Eukaryota, Viridiplantae, Streptophyta, Magnoliopsida, Solanales, Solanaceae.
UUCCAUUUUGAGCUACUGUUGUGAUUGGUUGAUCUGUUUUGAGGGAUGUUCGCAGCACUCAUAAGCUGUUGCUGAGCUUGGGAAAAUUGCUGCAUUUGAAGUUCUCUAAGUGUUGCGAAUGAGCUGCUACCUUGUUGUUAUAUUUGUUAUCAUAAACUGCUGGAUUAUUGGCCAUUUGCACCUCGUUUUGGGAGUGGUCUGCUGCUGAAUUUUUGGCCAUAUUUUCCUCGCAUUUUGCGGUUUUGCUGCUGCAUUUUUUGCCCCACGAAAUGUUGAUUUGUUGCUGUAAUUCUGAGCUAAAGUUUCUGCCGAAUGUCGGGCAAAUUUGAGCCAUUUUGUUGCUGCAUACUAAUGCAAAUUGCUACUGUAGUUGUUGCCAUUUUUAGGUACGCCACCGGUUCAAGCGUCAGAUCACGGUAGUAACCCAACCAUCCCUGAAUUAUCUCCCAUUACACCUGAUCUGAGCAGCCCAGUAGAUGAGGGUACAUCAAACCAUAGCAACACUGUCCGCGAAGAAGAGUCCAGUAGUCGUCGUAGGCAGCGGACACUUACACUUGUUACUCUUACUCCUGCAGGGUUGGAACCUUCUAAAGAAUGCUCUAAUACCGCAUCUUUCAAAAAUCAACUUGAUCCCAAUGGAAUCAAUUGGAAAGGUGUCUCGAAGAUACUAGAAAUUUUUAUUUUGGGGAAUUCAAGGACUACACCUGCGGAACCAAAUCGGACGGCGGUGGAUAGGACACAAGAAGCAUGUCAACCAACCACAACAGCUUCAUGAACCUAAACUAAAGUGAGAUGUCUGUCUUAGAUCCCUUUACUGCCUUACAUGAUUGGCUUGUAAUGACAUAGCAAUAGCAGGUCUUUUGCUUCUUACUGGAAACAUGAGGCAUUAUGUAGUUGUGGAAUCAUUUUUCUAUUUGAUAUAGAGGCAAAACAUAUACCUAUCGGAAAAAAAGAAGAUAUAGAGGCAUCGCAUAUAGGACUAGGUGUAAGCUUUGAAUGGCGGUGAUUUAAUGGUCUUAAGUACUGAAGUUUUUGAUCUUUCACAUUUGGUGUUCUAAACUGCUGGCGUGACAGCAUAUAGACUAGUUUUUAUUUUAUUAAUUUGCUGAACUUAAUCUCUUUUGUUAUGGUGUAAACAGUCUUGUCAUAUAAGUUGCCCAUUGAGGAAAGAUUCAAAGAUUUCGCAAAAUUAUUGAUCCAGAGAGUAAAUAAUGGUUCACAUUUUGCAAUAGCCCAUAUCCAGCCUUUAACUUUAUCACUUUUGAAGGCAUAGAAUAACUCGAAUCAACUCGAAGUGUAAAGCAUGUUGCUAUAUGUUCUAUUGCUCUUCAAAUAAAUUAGAUCUUAGCAAC